UUUGGGGUCAAUGACUCAUUUUUACCUUCUUUUUUCUCCUUUUUUGAACUGGAAUGUCUCUAAUUUUUAUCCAAUGCCUGUCCCACCAAUUGUCUAUUGAGAACAGAUCUCAAGACGGAGAGGAAUUGUGCCCAGGAGCUGUACCUGAUAGAUUCUAUUCAGGAGCCUCAGCAGCACCUGAUGUGGACAUUGAACUGAUGCUGUCGUGGGAUGAGGCUUUAGGAACCUUAAGAAGGAGAAGACAAAGCCAGAGACAUUCGCAGCAUGAGAAGGACUCGAUGCCACAUUACAGCAUAGAGGAUCUGAGGAAGGAGAAAGCCACCCUGAGAAAGAAUGCAGACAGUCUGUAGAAGCAGAGAAUGGCUCCUGAAUGACAAUCAGCAAGGAAACAGGGACCUCAGUCCUUCAACUGCAAGACACUGAAUUAUGCCAAUGCAGGAAUGACCUUGGAAAGGGACGCUGAGUCUGGGUGAGAAUGUAGCCAGCCAUCACCUUGAUUUCAGCCCUGAAACCCUUAGCAGAGAACCCAGGCACAUCAUCCCAGAUCCUGACCUACAGAGUCCACGAU
Molecule: long non-coding RNA, 568 nt
Filed under: Equus asinus (donkey)
Lineage: Eukaryota; Metazoa; Chordata; Mammalia; Perissodactyla; Equidae
Description: lncRNA (ENSEASG00005030383.1)
Source: RNAcentral